RNAcentral lists this ribosomal RNA (720 nucleotides) under uncultured Acidobacteriota bacterium. RNAcentral's name for it is "bacterial SSU rRNA". It matches the Rfam family "Bacterial small subunit ribosomal RNA", at positions 71 to 790 of the family's 1533-position model. The record is from RNAcentral. Lineage: Bacteria; Pseudomonadati; Acidobacteriota.
GUAUGGAGCUUGCUCCAUACAGUCGAGCGGCGAACGGGUGAGUAACGCGUGGAUAUCUACCCUGAGGUGGGGGAUAACCCGAGGAAACUCGGGCUAAUACCGCAUAACACCGUGAGGUCAAAGAGGGCUUCGGCUCUCGCCAUGGGAUGAGUCUGCGUCCGAUUAGCUAGUUGGUGAGGUAAAGGCUCACCAAGGCUGCGAUCGGUAGCCGGCCUGAGAGGGUGAUCGGCCACACUGGAACUGAGACACGGUCCAGACUCCUACGGGAGGCAGCAGUGGGGAAUUUUGCGCAAUGGGCGAAAGCCUGACGCAGCAACGCCGCGUGGAGGAUGAAGGUUUUCGGAUUGUAAACUCCUGUCAGUGGGGAAAAAGGCUUGCGACCUAAUACGUCGAGGAGCUUGAUUGUACCCGCAGAGGAAGCCCCGGCUAACUCUGUGCCAGCAGCCGCGGUAAUACAGAGGGGGCGAGCGUUAUUCGGAAUUAUUGGGCGUAAAGGGCGCGUAGGCGGCUGAUCAAGUGGAAGGUGAAAUCCCUCGGCUCAACCGAGGAACUGCCUUCCAAACUGACUGGCUUGAGUCCGGGAGAGGUGAGUGGAAUUCCCAGUGUAGCGGUGAAAUGCGUAGAUAUUGGGAGGAACACCGGUGGCGAAGGCGGCUCACUGGACCGGAACUGACGCUGAGGCGCGAAAGCGUGGGGAGCAAACGGGAUUAGAUACCCCGG